UCCUGAGUAAGUCGGGACACGUGUAAUCCUGACCGAAUCCGCCGGGACCAUCCGGCAAGGCUAAAUACUCCUGAGAGACCGAUAGUGAACCAGUACCGUGAGGGAAAGGUGAAAAGCACUUCGAACAGAAGAGUGAAAUAGUCCCUGAACCCAUACGCCUACAAGCAGUCGGAGCCGCUUCGUGCGGUGACGGCGUGCCUUUUGCAUAAUGAGCCUACGAGUUACUCAUCACCAGCGAGGUUAAGUACUUCAGGUACGUAAGCCGAAGCGAAAGCGAGUCUGAAUAGGGCGUCAAGUUGGUGGUGGUAGACGCGAAACCUUAGUGAUCUACCCAUGGGCAGGGUGAAGGUUUGGUAACACAAACUGGAGGCCCGAACCGGUAAACGUUGAAAAGUUUUCGGAUGACCUGUGGGUAGGGGUGAAAGGCCAAUCAAACUGGGAAAUAGCUCGUACUCUCCGAAAUGCAUUUAGGUGCAGCCUCUGUUGUUUUGUUCUAGAGGUAGAGCUACUGAUUGGAUGCGAGGGCUUCACCGCCUAUCAAAUCCGGCCAAACUCCGAAUGCUAGAACAUGAAGACAGGGAGUGAGCCAGCGGGUGCUAAGGUCCGUUGACGAAAGAGGGAGAACUCAGACCAUCAGCUAAGGUCCCCAAUUAUAUGCUAAGUUGGAAUUAAAACGGGGUGGGACUGCUUAGACAGCUAGGAUGUUGGCUUGGAAGCAGCCAUUCAUUUAAAGAGUGCGUAACAGCUCACUAGUCGAGCGGUCCUGCAUGGAUAAUACGCGGGCAUAAGCAUAUAACCGAAGCUAUGGGAUUGUAGAUGAUACAAUCGGUAGGAGAGCAUUCCAUUCAGCAUAGAAGCAGUA
RNAcentral lists this ribosomal RNA (862 nucleotides) under Odoribacter splanchnicus. RNAcentral's name for it is "partial 23S ribosomal RNA". It matches the Rfam family "Bacterial large subunit ribosomal RNA", at positions 406 to 1260 of the family's 2925-position model. Lineage: Bacteria; Pseudomonadati; Bacteroidota; Bacteroidia; Bacteroidales; Odoribacteraceae. The record is from RNAcentral.